AAGACUAUACUUUCAGGGAUCAUUUCUAUAGUUCGUUACUAAAGAAGUUUCUCUGAACGUGUAGAGCACCGGUACAAACAAAUG
Homo sapiens (human) is the source of this 84-nucleotide small nucleolar RNA. It matches the Rfam family "Small nucleolar RNA U3". From Rfam's summary of the family: Small nucleolar RNAs (snoRNAs) are involved in the processing and modification of rRNA in the nucleolus. There are two main classes of snoRNAs: the box C/D class, and the box H/ACA class. U3 snoRNA is a member of the box C/D class. The record is from Rfam. NCBI's taxonomy places the organism in Eukaryota, Metazoa, Chordata, Mammalia, Primates, Hominidae.